Molecule: ribosomal RNA, 254 nt
Filed under: uncultured bacterium
Lineage: Bacteria
Description: partial 16S ribosomal RNA
Rfam family: Bacterial small subunit ribosomal RNA
Source: RNAcentral
UACGGGGGGAGCAAGCGUUGUUCGGAUUUACUGGGCGUAAAGGGCGCGUAGGCGGUCAGCACAAGUCAGUUAUGAAAUCUCCGAGCUUAACUCGGAAAGGUCAACUGAUACUGUGCGACUAGAGUGCAGAAGGGGCAACUGGAAUUCUCGGUGUAGCGGUGAAAUGCGUAGAUAUCUGGAGGAACACCGGUGGCGAAGGCGGCAUCCUGGACCGAGAUUGACGCUGAGGCGCGAAAGCAUGGGGAGCGAACAGG